Molecule: non-coding RNA, 29 nt
Filed under: Mus musculus (house mouse)
Lineage: Eukaryota; Metazoa; Chordata; Mammalia; Rodentia; Muridae
Source: RNAcentral
UGAUUGUCCAUGAGAAAGAGUGAAUACAA